AGCAGCCGCCACGGUAAUACAGAGGGUGCGAGCGUUAAUCGGAUUUACUGGGCGUAAAGCGUGCGUAGGCGGCUUCUUAAGUCGGAUGUGAAAUCCCUGAGCUUAACUUAGGAAUUGCAUUCGAUACUGGGAAGCUAGAGUAUGGGAGAGGAUGGUAGAAUUCCAGGUGUAGCGGUGAAAUGCGUAGAGAUCUGGAGGAAUACCGAUGGCGAAGGCAGCCAUCUGGCCUAAUACUGACGCUGAGGUACGAAAGCAUGGGAAGCAAACAGGAUUAGAUACCCGCGUAGUCCCUGUCUCUUAUAC
RNAcentral lists this ribosomal RNA (303 nucleotides) under uncultured bacterium. RNAcentral describes it as "partial 16S ribosomal RNA". It matches the Rfam family "Bacterial small subunit ribosomal RNA", at positions 507 to 807 of the family's 1533-position model. The record is from RNAcentral.